Molecule: ribosomal RNA, 1452 nt
Filed under: Staphylococcus aureus
Lineage: Bacteria; Bacillati; Bacillota; Bacilli; Caryophanales; Staphylococcaceae
Description: partial 16S ribosomal RNA
Rfam family: Bacterial small subunit ribosomal RNA
Source: RNAcentral
UGCAGUCGAGCGAACGGACGAGAAGCUUGCUUCUCUGAUGUUAGCGGCGGACGGGUGAGUAACACGUGGAUAACCUACCUAUAAGACUGGGAUAACUUCGGGAAACCGGAGCUAAUACCGGAUAAUAUUUUGAACCGCAUGGUUCAAAAGUGAAAGACGGUCUUGCUGUCACUUAUAGAUGGAUCCGCGCUGCAUUAGCUAGUUGGUAAGGUAACGGCUUACCAAGGCAACGAUGCAUAGCCGACCUGAGAGGGUGAUCGGCCACACUGGAACUGAGACACGGUCCAGACUCCUACGGGAGGCAGCAGUAGGGAAUCUUCCGCAAUGGGCGAAAGCCUGACGGAGCAACGCCGCGUGAGUGAUGAAGGUCUUCGGAUCGUAAAACUCUGUUAUUAGGGAAGAACAUAUGUGUAAGUAACUGUGCACAUCUUGACGGUACCUAAUCAGAAAGCCACGGCUAACUACGUGCCAGCAGCCGCGGUAAUACGUAGGUGGCAAGCGUUAUCCGGAAUUAUUGGGCGUAAAGCGCGCGUAGGCGGUUUUUUAAGUCUGAUGUGAAAGCCCACGGCUCAACCGUGGAGGGUCAUUGGAAACUGGAAAACUUGAGUGCAGAAGAGGAAAGUGGAAUUCCAUGUGUAGCGGUGAAAUGCGCAGAGAUAUGGAGGAACACCAGUGGCGAAGGCGACUUUCUGGUCUGUAACUGACGCUGAUGUGCGAAAGCGUGGGGAUCAAACAGGAUUAGAUACCCUGGUAGUCCACGCCGUAAACGAUGAGUGCUAAGUGUUAGGGGGUUUCCGCCCCUUAGUGCUGCAGCUAACGCAUUAAGCACUCCGCCUGGGGAGUACGACCGCANGGUUGAAACUCAAAGGAAUUGACGGGGACCCGCACAAGCGGUGGAGCAUGUGGUUUAAUUCGAAGCAACGCGAAGAACCUUACCAAAUCUUGACAUCCUUUGACAACUCUAGAGAUAGAGCCUUCCCCUUCGGGGGACAAAGUGACAGGUGGUGCAUGGUUGUCGUCAGCUCGUGUCGUGAGAUGUUGGGUUAAGUCCCGCAACGAGCGCAACCCUUAAGCUUAGUUGCCAUCAUUAAGUUGGGCACUCUAAGUUGACUGCCGGUGACAAACCGGAGGAAGGUGGGGAUGACGUCAAAUCAUCAUGCCCCUUAUGAUUUGGGCUACACACGUGCUACAAUGGACAAUACAAAGGGCAGCGAAACCGCGAGGUCAAGCAAAUCCCAUAAAGUUGUUCUCAGUUCGGAUUGUAGUCUGCAACUCGACUACAUGAAGCUGGAAUCGCUAGUAAUCGUAGAUCAGCAUGCUACGGUGAAUACGUUCCCGGGUCUUGUACACACCGCCCGUCACACCACGAGAGUUUGUAACACCCGAAGCCGGUGGAGUAACCUUUUAGGAGCUAGCCGUCGAAGGUGGGACAAAUGAUUGGGGUGAAGUCGU